CAGUCGCCGCGGGAAUACAGAGGAUGCAAGCGUUAUCCGGAAUGAUUGGGCGUAAAGCGUCUGUAGGUGGCUUCUUAAGUCUGAUGUGAAAGCCCCCGGCUCAACCGGGGAGGGUCGUUGGAAACUGGGAAACUUGAGUGCAGAAGAGGAGAGUGGAAUUCCACGUGUAGCGGUGAAAUGCGUAGAGAUGUGGAGGAACACCAGUGGCGAAGGCGACUCUCUGGUCCGUAACUGACGCUGAGGAGCGAAAGCGUGGGGAGCGAACAGGAUUAGAUACCCCCGUAGUCCCUGUCUCUUAUAC
This 301-nucleotide ribosomal RNA is filed under the name uncultured bacterium. RNAcentral describes it as "partial 16S ribosomal RNA". It matches the Rfam family "Bacterial small subunit ribosomal RNA", at positions 509 to 807 of the family's 1533-position model. The record is from RNAcentral.